Molecule: unclassified non-coding RNA, 376 nt
Filed under: soil metagenome
Description: partial contains 5.8S ribosomal RNA, internal transcribed spacer 2, and large subunit ribosomal RNA
Rfam family: 5.8S ribosomal RNA (bases 1-120)
Source: RNAcentral
GAUGAAGAACGUAGUGAAAUGCGAUAAGUAAUGUGAAUUGCAGAAUUCUGUGAAUCAUCGAAUCUUUGAACGCAUCUUGCGCUCCUUGGUAUUCUGAGGAGCAUGCCUGUUUGAGUGUCAUUAAAUUCUCAACUACACUGACUUUGAAUUGGUGUGGCUUGGAUUUGGGGGGAAAAUUGUUGUGGGCUUUUUGUAUAGUCUGCUCCCCUGAAAUUGAUUAGCGGUACCUUUGUGGAACUGUCUACAGGUGUGAUAAUUAUCUACAUCUUAGACAUCUGCUGGAAUGCUGCUUUCUAAACCUUACUUGUAUUGACAAUCUUGACCUCAAAUCAGGUAGGACUACCCGCUGAACUUAAGCAUAUCAAUAAGCGGAGGA